RNAcentral lists this ribosomal RNA (433 nucleotides) under uncultured bacterium. RNAcentral describes it as "partial 16S ribosomal RNA". It matches the Rfam family "Bacterial small subunit ribosomal RNA", at positions 29 to 507 of the family's 1533-position model. The record is from RNAcentral.
AACGAACGCUGGCGGCAGGCCUAACACAUGCAAGUCGAGCGAGCAUUUCGGUGCUAGCGGCGGACGGGUGAGUAACGCGUGGGAACGUGCCCUUUUCUGCGGAAUAGUCCUGGGAAACUGGGGGUAAUACCGCAUACGCCCUUUUGGGGAAAGAUUUAUCGGAGAAGGAUCGGCCCGCGUUGGAUUAGGUAGUUGGUGGGGUAAUGGCCCACCAAGCCGACGAUCCAUAGCUGGUUUGAGAGGAUGAUCAGCCACACUGGGACUGAGACACGGCCCAGACUCCUACGAGAGGCAGCAGUGGGGAAUCUUAGACAAUGGGGGCAACCCUGAUCUAGCCAUGCCGCGUGAGUGAUGAAGGCCUUAGGGUUGUAAAGCUCUUUCAGCUGGGAAGAUAAUGACGGUACCAGCAGAAGAAGCCCCGGCUAACUCCGUG